This 253-nucleotide ribosomal RNA is filed under the name uncultured bacterium. RNAcentral's name for it is "partial 16S ribosomal RNA". It matches the Rfam family "Bacterial small subunit ribosomal RNA", at positions 524 to 776 of the family's 1533-position model. The record is from RNAcentral.
UACGAAGGGUGCAAGCGUUAAUCGGAAUUACUGGGCGUAAAGCGUGCGCAGGCGGUUAUGCAAGACAGAUGUGAAAUCCCCGGGCUCAACCUGGGAACUGCAUUUGUGACUGCAUGGCUGGAGUGCGGCAGAGGGGGAUGGAAUUCCGCGUGUAGCAGUGAAAUGCGUAGAUAUGCGGAGGAACACCGAUGGCGAAGGCAAUCCCCUGGGCCUGCACUGACGCUCAUGCACGAAAGCGUGGGGAGCAAACAGG